AAGUCGUAACAAGGUUUCCGUAGGUGAACCUGCGGAAGGAUCAUUAUCGUGUUUUUUUUCCUCUUCGCGGAGGAAAAACAAACGUAUUCACCCAAUCGUGAACUUGUUCCUGGAGAAAGGUUGGCCUUAACAGCUGACCAAUUUCCAAUUAAUAUUUACAUUUAACUUUAUUCACCACUUGUAUUCAAUGUGCUAAACUAAAAUCUUGGAUGAAGCUCUUUCGAGAGUUUUCUGAAAAGAAAGUACGAAAUUGCUGAACAACUCUUAGCAACGGAUAUCUUGGUUCUC
Molecule: unclassified non-coding RNA, 288 nt
Filed under: fungal sp.
Lineage: Eukaryota; Fungi
Description: partial internal transcribed spacer region
Rfam family: Eukaryotic small subunit ribosomal RNA (bases 1-46)
Source: RNAcentral